UAAAGCGAGCGCAGGCGGUUAGAUAAGUNUGAAGUUAAAGGCUGUGGCUUAACCAUAGUAUGCUUUGGAAACUGUUUAACUUGAGUGCAGAAGGGGAGAGUGGAAUUCCAUGUGUAGCGGUGAAAUGCGUAGAUAUAUGGAGGAACACCGGUGGCGAAAGCGGCUCUCUGGUCUGUAACUGACGCUGAGGCUCGAAAGCGUGGGGAGCAANCAGGAUUAGAUACCCUGGUAGUNCACGCCGUAAACGAUGAGUGCUAGGUGUUAGGCCCUUUCCGGGGCUUAGUGCCGCAGCUAACGCAUUAAGCACUCCGCCUGGGGAGUACGACCGCAAGGUUGAAACUCGAAGGAAUUGACGGGGGCCCGCACAAGCGGUGGAGCAUGUGGUUUAAUUCGAAGCAACGCGAAGAACCUUACCAGGUCUUGACAUCCCUCUGACCGCUCUAGAGAUAGAGUUUUCCUUCGGGACAGAGGUGACAGGUGGUGCAUGGUUGUCGUCAGCUCGUGUCGUGAGAUGUUGGGUUAAGUNNNNNNNCGAGCGCAACCCCUAUUGUUAGUUGCCAUCAUUGAGUUGGGCACUCUAGCGAGACUGCCGGUAAUAAACCGGAGGAAGGUGGGGAUGACGUCAAAUCAUCAUGCCCCUUAUGACCUGGGCUACACACGUGCUACAAUGGCUGGUACAACGAGUCGCAAGCCGGUGACGGCAAGCUAAUCUCUGAAAGCCAGUCUCAGUUCGGAUUGUAGGCUGCAACUCGCCUACAUGAAGUCGGAAUCGCUAGUAAUCGCGGAUCAGCACGCCGCGGUGAAUACGUUCCCGGGCCUNG
This 821-nucleotide ribosomal RNA is filed under the name uncultured bacterium. Its description in RNAcentral is "bacterial SSU rRNA". It matches the Rfam family "Bacterial small subunit ribosomal RNA", at positions 561 to 1383 of the family's 1533-position model. The record is from RNAcentral.